Long non-coding RNA from Meriones unguiculatus (Mongolian gerbil), 1692 nucleotides. RefSeq lists it as uncharacterized. The record is from RefSeq and is a predicted model, not a curated record. The transcript has 2 exons. NCBI's taxonomy places the organism in Eukaryota, Metazoa, Chordata, Mammalia, Rodentia, Muridae.
GGGCCCAGCGCUGGAGCAUGCGCGGUCGGCGGGUGCCCUUGCGGUUUGGCCUGCCGGCGGGCGGCGGCCGCCGUGGCUUCUGCGGGAGUCUGGAUCCCAGGCGGAGGAAGCGCCCAGUGUCCCUUUGCCCCUUGUUCGUGUGGACCGAGACGGUAUCAGUUCGCGGAGCUCGUCGUUGGCGUGAGAGGAAACAGGCGCAGAGGGCAGUUGGGCGUGGGUUUCCUACCCUAGCCCAGUGCAUUUGGCCGACUGUGGGAAGAACAGUCAACAAAAAACAAAGCAAGUUCUCCAGUGAUGCCUUAGGCCUCCCAGGGGAAGAGGCAGUGCAACUAGGACGCCCAAGUUGGAAGACCCUACGGAGGAGACGAUGGUGAAGGAGGAGCUGUGCGGAGAACGAAGAUAGAGCUACUGUGCACGAGAGGUCUUUGGUUUUACAGUCAGUUUAGAGGCUGAUACCUCAGAUGUUAACAAGAGGUUUCGCGUGGUUGAAAACCAAAGUGAAGCCGGGUCGUGGUCGGGCACACUUUUCAUCCCGGCACUCAGGACGCGGAGGUUGAGGCCAGCCUGGUCUACAUUGGGAGUUCCAGGACAGCCAGGGCUACACAGAGAAACCCUAUUCGAAAAGAAGGAAGGAAGGAAAAAAGGAAGAACCAAAAUCAGCAUUCUAGUUUCAACCCUGUCAUCAGCUAACUGGAUGAUCUGGGCAAAGCUACGCGUGCUGGUGGCUGGAGAGAUGGCUCAGAGGUUGAGAGCACGGGCUGCUCUUCCAGAGUGAGCCAGGUUCAAUUCCCAGCGCCGUGGCAGCUUACAACUGUAACUUCAGUUCCAGGGGAUACGACACGCUCACACCGAUGCACAUAAAAUAAAUAAACAUUUAAAAACCAGCUACUCUUUCCGGGGCUGGGUGGUUCUCUUACUGCUUAGUGUGGGGGGGUGGGGGGACGCAAACCUAAGUGUUCGCUGAGGACAGUAGCGGUGUGAAGGCGCAAAGUGGACCCAUUAGUCCUGUCCUUUCCCCCUCAAGUGUGACAGUGAACAAGAAAAAGCAGUUUCAUUCUAGGACAGCUAGGGCUUCACAGAAAAACCCUGUCUCGGGAAAAAACAAACAAACAAAAAAGCAAACAACAAAACCACUUUCUGACAGUACAACUGGAGUAAAUACUUUCUUGAAAACUAUGAGAUAAAAUAACAAGCCCCACAUUUUGUAAUACGUUCUCCAGAGCCUGUGAGAAACCAAGAUACCAGUGCCCGUGCUACUAUCUUUCUUUCUUUCUUGUUUUGAAAUCUCUUACUACAUAUUCAUAAAGCCCAUGGUUUGUUCUUAAUGGUCUUGGUUACAGGGUCUUGCCUGAAGUGAAGGCUCCGCAGAGAUCUGGCCGAGGCCCGCCCUCCCUCCGAUGGGGAGCCUCCGUUCCAGUCAUGGUGGACACAGCUGAAACCUUUUGAGUUUUUCUUUGAGGCACCACUGAGCCAUCUCUCCUGCCCCUUAUUUCAUUUUGUCUUUUCUCAAACACAUCUCUCCAUCACGCAAGGGUUGGUUGGUUUCUUCUCCUUGAAGAAGGAAGAUGGUUCUAGGCUCCGGGGGUGACAACCUCAUCAUUUCUGAGGUAUCUCUCUCUCGCUCUGUCCUGCUGCCCUGCAUUCUCCCGUCCUCUUUUUGAAAGCUUUCAAAAUAAACUAAUGAAAAAAAUA